AAAAAAAAUUAAAUAUAAUAAUAAUGAUAAUGAAAUAUACAGUUGCAAAAAAAAUCCAUUCAGAAGAAAAACACGUAGACCUUGAACACAUCUUCAUCAUCAUCGUCAUCAUCAGCAUCAUCAUCAUACGUAUUCAAGACAAAGACUUGUUGAAAAUAAAUGUAGAAAUGAAGCAAAAGAAAAAAAACAAUAAUGGAAUUCUGGAAUUGAUGGUACCAUCGUCAUCGUCGAAUUCCAUUUCAAGAUGGAAUGAAUUGAAAAAAAAAAAAAAUCAUACCACACAAUGGAAAAAAAAUUUCGAAUAUUUGAUUAUGGCCAACUACUACUACUACUACUACUGAUGUUGCAUAUCGAUUAUUAAUAAUCGACAUUUUUUCGAGACAAUGCAAAUAAUGCGAUGAAAUAUUGUGGAAUGAUCAUUAAAAAAAAAUGAUGAUGAUUCAUCUACAAAUACAAUCGAAUUGAAGAAAAUCAAUCAAAAUUGACCACAGCAUAAA
Molecule: non-coding RNA, 497 nt
Organism: Dermatophagoides farinae (American house dust mite)
Lineage: Eukaryota; Metazoa; Arthropoda; Arachnida; Sarcoptiformes; Pyroglyphidae
Source: RefSeq, a predicted model, not a curated record